Molecule: ribosomal RNA, 478 nt
Filed under: uncultured bacterium
Lineage: Bacteria
Description: partial 16S ribosomal RNA
Rfam family: Bacterial small subunit ribosomal RNA
Source: RNAcentral
GACGAACGUUGUCGGCGUGCUUAACACAUGCAAGUCGAACGGUAAGGCCCUUCGGGGUACACGAGUGGCGAACGGGUGAGUAACACGUGGGUGAUCUGCCCUGCACUUCGGGAUAAGACUGGGAAACUGGGUCUAAUACCGGAUAGGACUCCUGGCUUCAUGGUUGGGGGUGUAAAGCUUUUGCGGUGUGGGAUGGGCCCGCGGCCUAUCAGCUUGUUGGUGGGGUAAUGGCCUCCCAAGGCGACGCCGGAUAGCCGUCCGCUGAGGGUGACCGGUCACACUGGGACUGACAUACGGCCCAGACUCCUACGGGCGGCAGCAGUGGGGAAUAUUGCACAAUGGGCGCAAGCCUGAUGCAGCGACGCCGCGUGAGGGAUGACGGCCUUCGGGUUGUAAACCUCUUUCAGCUAUGACGAAGCGCAAGUGACGGUAGUAGCAGAAGAAGGACCGGCCAACUACGUGCCAGCAGCCGCGGUAA